GCGCGAAACACUUCGGUGUGAGUAGAGCGGCGGACGGGUGAGUAAUGCUUGGGAAUCUGCCCAGUAGUGGGGGAUAACGUGUGGAAACGCACGCUAAUACCGCAUACGUCCUACGGGAGAAAGCAGGGGAUCUUCGGACCUUGCGCUAUUGGAUGAGCCCAAGUCGGAUUAGCUAGUUGGUGGGGUAAUGGCCUACCAAGGCGACGAUCCGUAGCUGGUCUGAGAGGAUGAUCAGCCACACUGGGACUGAGACACGGCCCAGACUCCUACGGGAGGCAGCAGUGGGGAAUAUUGCACAAUGGGCGAAAGCCUGAUGCAGCCAUGCCGCGUGUGUGAAGAAGGCUCUAGGGUUGUAAAGCACUUUCAGUAGGGAGGAAAAGCUUAAGGUUAAUAACCUUGAGCCCUGACGUUACCUACAGAAGAAGCACCGGCAAACUCCGUGCCAGCCGCCCGGGGUAA
This 459-nucleotide ribosomal RNA is filed under the name SAR92 cluster bacterium enrichment culture clone PSHTC-007. RNAcentral describes it as "bacterial SSU rRNA". It matches the Rfam family "Bacterial small subunit ribosomal RNA", at positions 64 to 523 of the family's 1533-position model. The record is from RNAcentral. Lineage: Bacteria; Pseudomonadati; Pseudomonadota; Gammaproteobacteria; Cellvibrionales; Porticoccaceae.